CAAUAGCGUAUAUUAAAGUUGUUGCGGUUAAAAGCUCGUAGUUGGAUUUCUGCCGAGGACGACCGGUCCGCCCUCUGGGUGAGCAUCUGGUCCGCUUUGGGCAUCCUCCUGGGGAACGUUCCGUCGCUUGAUUGUGUGGUACGGAAUCUAGGACUUUUACUUUGAGGAAAUUAGAGUGUUCACUGCAGGCAUACGCCUUGAAUACGUUAGCAUGGAAUAAUAAGAUAGGACCUCGGUUCUAUUUUUCGGUUUCUAGAGCUGAGGUAAUGAUUAACAGGGAUAGUUGGGGCAUUCGUAUUUAACUGUCAGAGGUGAAAUUCUUGGAUUUGUUAAAGACGAACUACUGCGAAAGCAUUUGCCAAGGAUGUUUUCAUUGAUCAAGAACGAAAGUUAGGGAUCGAAGACGAUUAGAUACCA
Molecule: ribosomal RNA, 417 nt
Filed under: uncultured eukaryote
Lineage: Eukaryota
Description: SSU rRNA
Rfam family: Eukaryotic small subunit ribosomal RNA
Source: RNAcentral